UACGUAGGGGGCAAGCGUUAUCCGGAUUUACUGGGUGUAAAGGGAGCGUAGACGGCGAUGCAAGUCUGAAGUGAAAGGCGGGGGCCCAACCCCCGGACUGCUUUGGAAACUGUAUGGCUGGAGUGCAGGAGAGGUAGGUGGAAUUCCUAGUGUAGCGGUGAAAUGCGUAGAUAUUAGGAGGAACACCAGUGGCGAAGGCGGCUUACUGGACUGUAACUGACGUUGAGGCUCGAAAGCGUGGGGAGCAAACAGG
This 253-nucleotide ribosomal RNA is filed under the name uncultured bacterium. RNAcentral's name for it is "partial 16S ribosomal RNA". It matches the Rfam family "Bacterial small subunit ribosomal RNA", at positions 524 to 776 of the family's 1533-position model. The record is from RNAcentral.